Molecule: ribosomal RNA, 764 nt
Filed under: uncultured Providencia sp.
Lineage: Bacteria; Pseudomonadati; Pseudomonadota; Gammaproteobacteria; Enterobacterales; Morganellaceae
Description: bacterial SSU rRNA
Rfam family: Bacterial small subunit ribosomal RNA
Source: RNAcentral
AAGACUGACGCUCAGGUGCGAAAGCGUGGGGAGCAAACAGGAUUAGAUACCUGGUAGUCACGCUGUAAACGAUGUCGAUUUGGAGGUUGUUCCCUUGAGGAGUGGCUUCCGGAGCUAACGCGUUAAAUCGACCGCUGGGGAGUACGGCCGCAAGGUUAAAACUCAAAUGAAUUGACGGGGGCCCGCACAAGCGGUGGAGCAUGUGGUUUAAUUCGAUGCAACGCGAAGAACCUUACCUACUCUUGACAUCCAGAGAAUUUAGCAGAGAUGCUUUAGUGCCUUCGGGAACUCUGAGACAGGUGCUGCAUGGCUGUCGUCAGCUCGUGUUGUGAAAUGUUGGGUUAAGUCCCGCAACGAGCGCAACCCUUAUCCUUUGUUGCCAGCACGUUAUGGUGGGAACUCAAAGGAGACUGCCGGUGAUAAACCGGAGGAAGGUGGGGAUGACGUCAAGUCAUCAUGGCCCUUACGAGUAGGGCUACACACGUGCUACAAUGGCGUAUACAAAGAGAAGCGACCUCGCGAGAGCAAGCGGAACUCAUAAAGUACGUCGUAGUCCGGAUUGGAGUCUGCAACUCGACUCCAUGAAGUCGGAAUCGCUAGUAAUCGUAGAUCAGAAUGCUACGGUGAAUACGUUCCCGGGCCUUGUACACACCGCCCGUCACACCAUGGGAGUGGGUUGCAAAAGAAGUAGGUAGCUUAACCUUCGGGAGGGCGCUUACCACUUUGUGAUUCAUGACUGGGGUGAAGUCGUAACAAGGUAACCA